UCAGGUCCCCCGUGCGGCGGUAACUCGCCCAACCCCCCCAGGGCCGGAAGGCAGCAAGGGUAAGUGAGCUCUUCCGGGUGCGCGGGGAGCCCCCAUUUC
This 99-nucleotide signal recognition particle RNA is filed under the name Propionibacteriaceae bacterium. RNAcentral's name for it is "signal recognition particle sRNA small type". It matches the Rfam family "Bacterial small signal recognition particle RNA". From Rfam's summary of the family: The signal recognition particle (SRP) is a universally conserved ribonucleoprotein involved in the co-translational targeting of proteins to membranes. Archaeal SRP consists of a 7S RNA and homologues of the eukaryotic SRP19 and SRP54 proteins. The record is from RNAcentral. Lineage: Bacteria; Bacillati; Actinomycetota; Actinomycetes; Propionibacteriales; Propionibacteriaceae.